This 785-nucleotide long non-coding RNA is filed under the name Cucumis sativus (cucumber). Its description in RNAcentral is "long non-coding RNA (CSAT_LNC000692)". The record is from RNAcentral. Lineage: Eukaryota; Viridiplantae; Streptophyta; Magnoliopsida; Cucurbitales; Cucurbitaceae.
GAUCUUCAUAUAUAUAUGUAUUUAUGUAUGUUCAUCGUCAUUUAAUUUCUUAAUUAAUUAUAAUACUAUUAGGGUUGCUUCGGUGUGGUAAAAGUUGUCGACUACGAUGGAUCAAUUAUCUUCGUCCCGAUCUCAAGAGAGGAAACUUCACUGCUGAGGAAGACCAAAUUAUCAUCAAUCUCCAUACCCUACUUGGCAAUAAGUAAGUAUCAAUUUCUAAUUCCCUACUAAAGUAUACUUGGGUGGGUGAUCCCAUCUCCACAUCACACUUUUACAUAAAACAAAUAAUUAUAACAUUUCAUUAAAAAAACAAAAUGAAUUUGCAAACUUUGAUUAGACUUGGAACAAACGAAGAUAGGUGAUAUGUUUAAUCAUGAUGUAUUACGAAUUUUAUAUAUGUAAGACCAAGUCUUUUUCUCUAAAAAAAAACUAUUAAACACAUCUUGAACCAUUGUUUAAAUUAGAAUCUAGUUUCUAAUUACUUUCUAAAUUUGCUAUAAAAAACACAUACAUAUGAAACAUAAAUAUGAUCUAUUUUCAUCCCGUCCCUUGUUUUCAUAUUGUCUACCUGCUAAACUAAUGUGAUGAGAAUUUAUAAUAUGACUAACAGGUGGUCUUUAAUUGCCGCACGAUUACCUGGAAGGACGGAUAACGAGAUAAAAAACUACUGGAACACGCAUAUCAAACGAAAACUCUAUAGUCGAGGAAUCGAUCCUCAAACGCAUCGUCCAUUGGCCAAUAACAGUAGUAGCAGUACUGGCGACUUUGACCGGCGACGGGAAGAU